AACUGAUACUACCUGCGGGAACCUGCGGAAGGAUCAUUAACGCGCCGUGGAGGUUGCCUUUAAACAGGUCUGACCUUCCACCUGGCCACCCUUGUUUAUCUUUAACCUGUUGCUUUGGUGGGCCCGCUACAAGGCCGCUGGAGAAUUUAAAAGUUUUCUGGCCCGUGCCCACCAAAGUCCUAGUGAACUCUUUGUUAAUUUUCUGCUGUCUGAGCAUUAAAAGAAACAAUUUUUAAAACU
This 240-nucleotide unclassified non-coding RNA is filed under the name soil metagenome. RNAcentral's name for it is "partial contains 5.8S ribosomal RNA, internal transcribed spacer 2, and large subunit ribosomal RNA". The record is from RNAcentral.